Long non-coding RNA from Mus musculus (house mouse), 730 nucleotides. RefSeq annotates it as predicted gene, 33984. The transcript is spliced from 3 exons. Lineage: Eukaryota; Metazoa; Chordata; Mammalia; Rodentia; Muridae. The record is from RefSeq and is a predicted model, not a curated record.
GAAGAAUAAAAUCGCCUUAGCUAAUAGAGCGGCAUGCUAUUAUGUACCUGAAGGUUUAACUGCUAUAUUAGCCUGAAAGAAUCAUUUGAAGGGGCGGAAGGAGUUCGCUUUUCCCUGGGCUACAUCAGUGAAUUCAAUUUCUAUUGAAGAGAGACUAGCAUUUUAAAAACCACUGUGUGUGGAGCUUCGAGUCCUUUUCUUCUUUCGCAUCCUUAAGAUGAGCAGAUUUUUCCUGCCACAUACCCACUUUAAGGAGUUAUCUUGCUACAGACCUCAAAGCAACAGGGAAAAAUAUUCACAGAAUGGACAUUUCAAAACGGUCUGUUACAUUUCCCAGAAUGGUUCGCAGCACUGGAGAUAAUUCCUUUUCGAAGAACCUACAUUUCUCACCUGCUGAUUGCAAUUAGCCACUGCCAGCUGGGGCCUGGUGUGCAGCUGAAAACCUAACAAGAAGUGGGGACCACGCAGAACCCAGAUAGGGCAUAGGAGGUGCAUAAAUAAGAAAUGGUGCCCUUGUUUACGAGAUGCUUCUGUGAAUUCAGGGCUUGCCAACCCUUUGCACAGCCCUCCCUUUUCAAGCUCUGGGCUGCCCAUCCCUAUUCUAUUCUUCUUCUUCUUCUUCUUUUUUUAAUCUCUCAGUUUGUAGCCUACACUUAACAUUACAGUCACGAAUUUACUACUAAGUACAUUUUGUUAGGUAAUAAACAGCCUUGCAAGAAAAAAAAUGAAA